RNAcentral lists this microRNA precursor (207 nucleotides) under Oryza brachyantha (malo sina). RNAcentral describes it as "MIR812 microRNA precursor family". It matches the Rfam family "MIR812 microRNA precursor family". The record is from Rfam by way of RNAcentral. Lineage: Eukaryota; Viridiplantae; Streptophyta; Magnoliopsida; Poales; Poaceae.
AAUAACUUCAUCUUUCAGUUUUUUGAUAUAAUGUUUUGACUCUUCGUCUUAUUUAAAAAAAUUUUGUGAUUAAUAUUUUUAUUUUUACUAGAUGAUAAAAUAUGAAUAGUACUUUAUACGUGACUAAUUUUUUCAAGUUUUUUAUAAAUUUUUCAAAUAAGACGAAUGGUUAAACGUUCGGCACAUAAAGUUAUUAUGAGACGGAGG